CGGAGAGUUUGAUCCUGGCUCAGGACGAACGCUGGCGGCGUGCGUAAUACAUGCAAGUCGAGCGGGGUUUAGAAGCUUGCUUCUAAACAACCUAGCGGCGGACGGGUGAGUAACACGUAGGCAACCUGCCCACAAGACAGGGAUAACUACCGGAAACGGUAGCUAAUACCCGAUACAUCCUUUUCCUGCAUGGGAGAAGGAGGAAAGACGGAGCAAUCUGUCACUUGUGGAUGGGCCUGCGGCGCAUUAGCUAGUUGGUGGGGUAAAGGCCUACCAAGGCGACGAUGCGUAGCCGACCUGAGAGGGUGAUCGGCCACACUGGGACUGAGACACGGCCCAGACUCCUACGGGAGGCAGCAGUAGGGAAUCUUCCGCAAUGGGCGAAAGCCUGACGGAGCAACGCCGCGUGAGUGAUGAAGGUUUUCGGAUCGUAAAGCUCUGUUGCCAGGGAAGAACGUCUUGUAGAGUAACUGCUACAAGAGUGACGGUACCUGAGAAGAAAGCCCCGGCUAACUACGUGCCAGCAGCCGCGGUAAUACGUAGGGGGCAAGCGUUGUCCGGAAUUAUUGGGCGUAAAGCGCGCGCAGGCGGCUCUUUAAGUCUGGUGUUUAAUCCCGAGGCUCAACUUCGGGUCGCACUGGAAAC
Molecule: ribosomal RNA, 645 nt
Filed under: uncultured bacterium
Lineage: Bacteria
Description: bacterial SSU rRNA
Rfam family: Bacterial small subunit ribosomal RNA
Source: RNAcentral